GUCAUUUGUAAUAGCCCUGUACUAAAAUUGGAACGAUACAGAGAAGAUUAGCAUGACCCUGCGCAAGAAUGACGCAAAAAUAACUGCAGAUAGAGUGGUAAUAUGUUUUA
Schistocerca cancellata (South American locust) is the source of this 110-nucleotide small nuclear RNA. Lineage: Eukaryota; Metazoa; Arthropoda; Insecta; Orthoptera; Acrididae. The record is from RefSeq and is a predicted model, not a curated record.